RNAcentral lists this long non-coding RNA (536 nucleotides) under Homo sapiens (human). RNAcentral describes it as "non-protein coding lnc-GPR89B-4:1". The record is from RNAcentral. Lineage: Eukaryota; Metazoa; Chordata; Mammalia; Primates; Hominidae.
CCCAAAGUGUCAAAGUUGGUAAAUGGCAGAGCUGGAAUUCAAAGAGUCUGAUUCCAAAGUCUAUAUAGUCCGGCGUGAUCAUUAAAGGAAUUCCUUGUGUUCAAAGAGCAGUGCUUGAAAACCAAGCUCAUUUGUGCCUGCAGAAAUGCCAGCCUCUGGGGUAGAAGAAAUGUCAUACUUUGAUCAUCUUCCACACUGCUCUGGGCAUACUCCGUCACAAACUACGUUGUGUGAAUCUGAGGACUGCUUUAGAAAUGAGUUCCCAAAUUGCUCAAGAAAUAGUUCAGGCUGUAAUUCUGAAAAGCCUUCUGCUCACUCAGGUCCAGUGAUCACCUCUGAGGAGUGAGAUUAGAGCAGCGAAGAGACUUUCAAUUCUUACUUUAUACACUUCUGUAUUGUUUGAACCUGAAGGACUUGAAAGAGAACCAAAAGGAGGGGUAGCAUUCCCAGCAGCUAGCACUUUCAUCCAAUGCCAGGGCUUUCAUUGGCCAAAUUAUUUUCAAAGAUACUGCCUGACCGAAGCACUUCUGCAAUAA